UGGGGAAUAUUGGACAAUGGGCGAAAGCCUGAUCCAGCCAUGCCGCGUGUGUGAAGAAGGUCUUCGGAUUGUAAAGCACUUUAAGUUGGGAGGAAGGGCAGUAAAUUAAUACUUUGCUGUUUUGACGUUACCGACAGAAUAAGCACCGGCUAACUCUGUGCCAGCAGCCGCGGUAAUACAGAGGGUGCAAGCGUUAAUCGGAAUUACUGGGCGUAAAGCGCGCGUAGGUGGUUCGUUAAGUUGGAUGUGAAAUCCCCGGGCUCAACCUGGGAACUGCAUUCAAAACUGACGAGCUAGAGUAUGGUAGAGGGUGGUGGAAUUUCCUGUGUAGCGGUGAAAUGCGUAGAUAUAGGAAGGAACACCAGUGGCGAAGGCGACCACCUGGACUGAUACUGACACUGAGGUGCGAAAGCGUGGGGAGCAAACAGGAUUAGAUACCCGUGUAGUCCCUGAGCGGGCUGGCAAGGCGCAU
RNAcentral lists this ribosomal RNA (472 nucleotides) under uncultured bacterium. RNAcentral's name for it is "bacterial SSU rRNA". It matches the Rfam family "Bacterial small subunit ribosomal RNA", at positions 355 to 825 of the family's 1533-position model. The record is from RNAcentral.